CACGUAGGGGACGAGCGUUGUCCGGAUUCAUUGGGCGUAAAGAGCUCGUAGGUGGUUUGGUAAGUCGGAUGUGAAAUCUCCAGGCUCAACCUUGAGGGGUCAUUCGAUACUGCCAUGACUAGAGUUCGGUAGGGGAGUGUGGAAUUCCUGGUGGAGCGGUGAAAUGCGCAGAUAUCAGGAGGAACACCCGUAGCGAAGGCGGCACUCUGGGCCGAUACUGACACUGAGGAGCGAAAGCGUGGGGAGCGAACAGG
RNAcentral lists this ribosomal RNA (254 nucleotides) under uncultured bacterium. Its description in RNAcentral is "partial 16S ribosomal RNA". It matches the Rfam family "Bacterial small subunit ribosomal RNA", at positions 524 to 776 of the family's 1533-position model. The record is from RNAcentral.